Molecule: ribosomal RNA, 482 nt
Filed under: uncultured bacterium
Lineage: Bacteria
Description: partial 16S ribosomal RNA
Rfam family: Bacterial small subunit ribosomal RNA
Source: RNAcentral
AUUGAACGCUGGCGGCAGGCCUAACACAUGCAAGUCGAGCGGAUGAAGGGAGCUUGCUCCUGGAUUCAGCGGCGGACGGGUGAGUAAUGCCUAGGAAUCUGCCUGGUAGUGGGGGAUAACGUCCGGAAACGGGCGCUAAUACCGCAUACGUCCUGAGGGAGAAAGUGGGGGAUCUUCGGACCUCACGCUAUCAGAUGAGCCUAGGUCGGAUUAGCUAGUUGGUGGGGUAAAGGCCUACCAAGGCGACGAUCCGUAACUGGUCUGAGAGGAUGAUCAGUCACUGUGGCUGUGAGACGCUGUCCAGUCUCACACGGGGGGCCGCUGUGGAGAAUUGUGGACUAUGGGCGAAAGUCUGACACAGCCAUGGCGCGUGUGAAGAAGGUCUUCGGAUUGUAAAGCACUUUAAGUUGGGAGGAAGGGCAGUAAGUUAAUACCUUGCUGUUUUGACGUUACCAACAGAAUAAGCACCGGCUAACUUCGUG